GGGCCCCGAGAAAGCGUGCAGGGCCGGGGGCGAGGGCCCGGCUUGAAGAGGGGGCAUGGCCAGCGUCCCGCAGCUGUUGGACGACCUAUGCGAGGCCCUGCUGCCGGCCGCGAAGGUGCACCUGGGCCAGCGCCGCGGGAGCCGGAAGAGGGCAAAGCAGAGCCUCAAGAGGGUGGCCUACAACGCGCUGUUCACCAGCCUCUUUCAAGAUGAGACUCGCAGGCUGCAGCCUGACUUCUCAAGACUCCCGGUGAAAAACAAGAUCCUCAUGCUGUCCUUUGACUUGCGAGUGGGUGGCCUGGGCGCCGAGGCCGACCGUCUGGAGGAGCUGGUGGAGGGACUGGAGGCGGCGCCCGGCCGGCCCCUGGCGGAGAUGGGCUCGGUUCUGGACCUCCUGGUGCAGCUGUCGGGCAGCGGCCCCCCGCGAGCUCCACGGCGCGGGCGGGACUACUUCCUUCCCCGCGGGCCGGUCGGGAGGAGAGUUACCUACGGCGGCUACGACUGCGGCGACCUGCGCGCGUUUGAGGCGGACGUGGGCGCUCUCAUCUCCGGGGAGGAAAGUCUGUGUCAAGACCUGAUCCGGAGGACGCUUCAGGUGAUGGAGGCGGCGCCGGGCACCGGGCUACUCUUCUCGUACGGCGACCCUAGCGGUGACAGGUUUGAGAGGGACACCCGCGUCUCUCUCUUCGGAGCCCUCGUGCACAGCCGCACAAACGACAUGGACGUCCGGCUGGACCUGCCCCCGGUACCGGACAGCGCCGACCUCGCGGGACUGGCCAUCAAGGUCCCUCCGAGUGUGGAUCCAUCGGAAGAUGAAGGGUUCCAGUCAGCAUCCAAUCUGACUCCUGAUUCCCAGUCUGAGCCGAGCAUGACCCCAGAUGUUGACCUGUGGGAUGCUGUGCUCACCUACGAGGCCAGCAAGCGGAGGUGCUGGGAGCAAGUUGGAUGCACCCCCGGCCACAGAGAGGAGCCCUACCUCACAGAGGCAGGCAGGGACGCCUUCGACAGGUCCUGCAGGCUCCGCCAUGGGGAGCUGCAGGUGGUGGGCGGGGGCCUCCUGCAGGCCCCGCAGCCCAUCCUGGUGAGGGAGCGCGAGCUGGUGAAGGAUGCCCUGAACGUCCUGAUUGGGGUUGUGUCCACCACGUUUUCUCUGUGCCAGCCGGCUCAGGCCUUCACGGUGAAGCAGGGCGUCCACGUGUCAGGAGCGUCCCCCGAGAGCAUGAGCAGCCUCCUCUCAGAGGUGGCCGAGUGCGGGACCCACUAUGCGCGCCUGAGCCACUUCUCCCUGCAGCCUGUGCUGGACUCCUCAUGCAGCAGGGGCCUCGUGUUCCAGGCCUUCACCAGUGGCCUGAGGAGGUACCUGCAGUACUACCGGGCCUGCGUCCUCUCCACGCCGCCCACCCUGAGCCUCCUCACCAUUGGCUUCCUCUUCAAGAAGCUGGGCCGGCAGCUCAGGUACCUGGCUGAGCUCUGUGGUGUCGGCACUGGCACUGCACUCCCGGGCGCUGGUGGAGGGGAGCCCAGGGCUGCGGCUGCCUUCCCCACUGGCGUGAGGCUGCUCUCCUACCUCUACCAGGAGGCCCUGGACAACUGCAGCAACGAACACUACCCGGUGCUGCUGUCUCUGCUGAAGACCAGCUGCGAGCCCUACACGCGGUUCAUUCACGACUGGGUGUACAGUGGGGUCUUCAGAGAUGUUUAUGGAGAGUUCAUGAUCCAGGUGAACCAGGAGUACUUGGGCUUCAGAGACAAGUUUUACUGGACCCAUGGCUACGUGCUCAUUUCCAAAGAGGUGGAGGACUGCGUGCCCGUGUUCUUGAAACACGUUGCUCAUGACGUGUAUGUCUGCGGAAAGACCAUCAACCUGCUGAAGCUCUGCUGCCCCCGGCAUUACCUCUGCUGCUCUGAUGUUCCUGUCCCUCGCAUCUCGGUGAUUUUCUCCCUGGAGGAGUUGAAGGACAUAGAGAAGGACUGUGCCAUCUACGUGGGACGGAUGGAGAGGGUGGCGCGCCACAGCUCCAUCAGCAAGGAGGAGAAGGAAUUACGAAUGGAAAUUGCAAAACAAGAAUUAAUCAUCCAUGCCCGGGAAGCGGCGUCCAGGGUCCUGAGUGAGCUCAGUGAUCGGCAGAUGUCUGUGCGGAUGGCCUUGGAUGCCCGGAAGCGAGAGCAGUUUCAGAGGCUGAAGGAGCAGUUCGAGAAGGACCAGGAGCGACGCCGGGUGGCCAGGCAGGAGGAGCUGGAUGAUGACUUCAGCUACGCUCGUGAGCUCCGGGACCGGGAGAAGAGGCUGAAAGCCCUGGAGGAGCAGCUGGAGAGGAAGGCGAGGCAGGCGCUGGUGGACCAUUACAGCCAGCUGUCUGCGGAGGCUGCUCGCCGGGAGCAGAGGGCACUGUGGAAGGUCCAGAGGCGAAGACUGGCCAGCGCUCGGCUUCGCUUUCUCUUGGAUGAUCAGAAACAGAUUCAGGAGAUGCUGAAAGAUGUGUCUGAGGGGAAGCCCUUGGAGCUGCUGGCUGCCCUCUCUGGUGCCCACUCCCAGGCCUCCUUCCUGGGCCCCCAGCACCCAGCCAGAGGCAGCGGCAGUGAUUCUGGGCGUGCAGAGCAGCACGAGGCUGCCUGGGAUUGCUCCAAUAGCCAGAGUGUGCUGACACCGAAGCCCCUCCAGUCUCCAGCAGUGGGGGCCUGCGGCUCACAGCCUGGAGCGGGCCUGCCGUUGGGGCAGGCAGAGGGGCCAGAGCCAUUCUCUGUGGGCCUCAGCAUCCAGGACUUCCUGCCCAUGGCCCCGGGGGCUGAGCAGCUUGCGUUCCCCUGCUCGGCCCCCGUCCUGGAGGACGCACUGCAGACCAUUGGCUCAGACCUGCCUCUGGUGGCUCCAUCUGCACUGGUGGGCUCAGGGCCCCCUGGGCCACAGGAGUACGAUUUCAGAACCAUCCUGAGGCCGGCUAUGGCCGCCUCAGCUUCCCCAGGGUUCCUCCAGACAGUAGGAGGUGGCUUGGGCAGUGAGGGGCAGCAGCUGUGGGAGGACACUCACACGCAGCUGGACAUGUGUGUCCCGGAUGGGCAGGUCCCCAGGCACACCUCCCCCCAGGAGGGUAGCAGCCAGGCCACAAGGCAGCUCCUUGGGCAGGUGUCAGAGGGUGGUGUUCCCAUAGGGGGUUACGCCUCUGGAAUGACUCCCUCCUGGCCACAGUGGAAUGUCCACAGACACGUGUCUGAUGCCAGCAUCAGGGUGGGGGAGAACGUAUGGGACGUGGCCCCUUCCCGGCCACGUUGGAAUGUCCACGGACAUGUGUCUGAUGCCAGCAUCCGGGUCGGGGAGAAUGUGUGGGACGUGGCCCCCUCCCGGCCACGGUGGAAUGUCCACGGACACGUGUCUCAGUCCCAUGUAACACUAGGGAUGCUCCCAGGGGAAGCUGAGUCUAAUGUGCCCAGGCCCCACUGGACGCCCCCUGAUCAUAGGUCCCAGUCAGAUCUUAGCUUGGGGGCCCAGAGCCCUGCCCAGGAACAUGAGCCCCAGCCGCCCACAGAAACAGCCUCAGGCAGGUCCUGCGUGCACAUGGCUGGCUCCGGCUCUGGCCUGGAGGAGAGUGGCCUCCAGUCCUCGUUCUCUGAGGGGGCUGCGCCUGCUGCCCUGGGAGAUGGCACGCCUGAGGAGCCAGGCCCAGGGAGGAGCGGGGACACUGAAGACCUCUCUCCAAGUUGCCCUCCAGGCUCCCAGGAAGGCAUGGCUGCCCAGAGCAGCCCAGACCUUGGCGAGGAGGCAGUCCAGCGCUGGGGCCAGGAGCAGGCCUACUUGGCAGGCCUGGCGGGGCAGUACUGCCUGGAGCGGUACCCGGACAGCUUUGAGGCCAUGUCAGAGCCUCCCAUCGCCCGCCUCCUGCACCACGGGCUUCCGAGAGCCUUUACCCUCCCCGAGGAAGCCCGGGUCCAGUCGGACGCGGACGAGACCGCGGUGCAGCUGAGUGAGCUGCUGCCCCUGCCCGUGCUCAUGAAGCACUCCAUCACUGCCCCUCUGGCCGCCCACGUCUCCCUGGUCAACAGAGCAGCCGUUGACUACUUCUUCGUGGAGCUGCGCCUGGGGGCACACUUCGAGGCACUGCGGCACUUCCUUCUGAUGGAGGACGGGGAGUUUGCCCAAUCCCUCAGCGACCUGCUCUUUGAGAAGCUCGGGGCGGGGCAGACGCCCGGGGAGCUUCUCAGCCCACUGGCGCUCAACGCAGUGCUGAGCAAGGCCCUGCAGUACAGCCUGCACGGCCACACCCCGCACGCCGCCAACCUCUCCUUUGCCCUCAAGUUCCUGCCUGAGGCCUUUGCCCCCAAUGCCCCGGACGUGCUGAGCUGCCUGGAGCUCAGGUACAAGGUCGACUGGCCCCUCAACAUCGUGGUCACCGAGAGCUGCCUGAGCCGGUACAGCGGAAUCUUCUCCUUCCUGCUGCAGCUGAAGCUUAUGAUGUGGACCCUCAAGGACAUCUGCUGCCACCUCAAGCGCACAGCCCGGGUGAGCCAGGCAGCCGGCUCAGUGCAGUUCCGGCAGCUGCAGCUGUUCAAGCACGAGAUGCAGCACUUCGUGAAGGUCACCCAGGGCUACAUUGCCAACCAGAUCUUGCACGUCACCUGGCGUGAGUUCCGGGCAAGGCUGGCCUCGGUGGGUGACCUGGAGGAGAUCCAGCGCGCCCACGCCGAGUACCUGCACAAAGCUGUCUUCAGGGGCCUGCUGACAGAGAAGGCGGCACCCGUCAUGAACGUCAUCCACAGCAUCUUCAGCCUGGUCCUGAAGUUCCGCAGUCAGCUCAUCUCCCAGCCCUGGGGCCCAGCCAGUGGCCCCCGGGGAGCCGAGCACCCUAACUUCGCCCUCAUGCAGCAGUCCUACAGCACCUUCAAGUACUACUCCCACUUCCUCUUCAAAGUGGUGAGCAAGCUGGUGAACCGUGGCUACCAGCCCCACCUGGAGGACUUCCUGUUGCGCAUCAACUUCAACAAUUACUACCAGGACGCCUGAGGCUGAAUAAAGGGGGCCUCAGCACCACAAAGACCAGGACUGACUGGCUCCUGGUGUCCUGCUGUCCCCAACGUUCUCCAGCACGCAUGUCUCCCAUGGGCUUCCUUCUAAAUAUUCCUCCCUUUCUGGAAACGAACUCCAAGGAAGCAAGCCCUGAGUACCCACCGGGGAUCCAUCUGGGGUCGGAAGGCGAGCCUUAGCUCCUCUAGGGAGGCACACUGUGUGGUCAGUGCAGCCAGGAACUCGUCCGGGUCCGGAGACUCUGGCCCAGCUGGGAAGGAGCUCAGCAAGUAGAAGGAGUUUGUGAAGUCAGCACCUAGAACAGGCAGCUGCUCAGGGCACCGUCCUGUCAACAGGUGACCACACCCAUCCAUCCAAUACACAUGUGUGGGCCGGGACUCCUGACUCCCCUCCAGCCUCUCCAGCCCCACCCAGGGUGGCCACCACUCUGAACCAGGCAAGUCACUCAGUUUCUCGAGGCUUCCAAGCCCCCGUGUCUUCCUCUGUCAAAUGAGUAAACAGCGAGGGGGCCCCGAGGUUGGCAUCACAGCUGCAGGGCCGAGAAACGCCCGGCACCGGGCGCAACGCUCGGCAGGCGUGUGAGGUCCUCAGCCUGACCUGUCAAAGCGCCGUCACCAUGGGCCCUAGGAAAACACCCCAAAGCAGACCCAACAGCAGAAGGGAAUCGGUGGUGUACAGAAGAAUCACCUAAGCAGGAGAGCCGUAACAGAAGACAAGGGCAAGACAGAGAAAGCAGAGCCCAGCGGGAGUCCCUCCUUGUCGGUAAUUACCUCAAAAGGAAACGGAUUAGUGUCUCCAUUCAAAGAGCAGAAACUGGCAGGAUGGAUAAAAAACAUUAUCCAGCUACAGUAAGAUACUCACUUUAAAGAAGUUGAAAGACACAAAUAACUAAAAGGAACAAAAGUGGGGGCAUCACAACUGAUCAUACAGAAAUAAGACUAAGAAAACACUAUGAACAGUAACCUAGGUAACAAUGAGUCAGAUCAUUUAUGGGACAGAUUCCUCAAAACAUAAGUUACCAAAAUUGACUCGAAACAAAAUCUAAAGUGUCCUAUAACAAAUAAUGAGAUUGAAUCAACAAUGAAAAACUUCCCUUAUAAACAGAAAUGAAAAACCUCAACAAAAUAUUUAAAGGACCAAGUGGGCUUUAUCCCCAGAAUGCCAGUUUGUGAACUGGAUGUUUCUGUGUCCCCUCCGCCCAAACUGACACCUUAAAACCCAAACCCCUAGUGGGAUGGUUUCUGGAGAUGGGGCCUGCGGGAGGUAGGUCAGGAGGGUGGAGCCCCCACGAUGGACUUUGUGCCCUUCUAAGAGGGGGCAGAGAGAGCUUCCCCGACCCCGCACUCUGCCAUGUGAAGACAGAGCCCGAGACGGUCUCCACCAGUGGCCCCACCUUGCCAGUGCCCUGACCCUGGAUGUCCAGCCUCCAGGUUGUGAGAUGGACUUUCAAUCAACUAAGACAGAGUGUGAAUGAAGGAACAGAACUGUAAUCAUCUCACUGAGGCAAAGCGGUGAGAACACUCAACUGGGGAGAGAAGGAAGCCUCCCCAGCUUGGUAAGAGCCUUGUAUCACCAGGCCCACGGCUCGCCUCACAGCCAGGUUCACAGGAUGGAGACUCGAGGUCAUCGGGCUGCGGGGGGUAGUCGGUGCUUCACGGGUACAGCGUUGAUGGGGGCACAACAGUGUGUGCACGGGGGUGGUGAAGGCCCAGUCUCGUGUCUCCUGUGCCUGCCCACGCUCACCUGUCAGGUGCAUGGUCUCCAGGAGCUUGGCUACCAAAGCGCCGUCCUCCGCCAGCUCCAUCCUCACGAGGCCCAGCUUCCUGCGCAUCUUCUGCAGGUAGUGUGUGCGGAACUCAGUGUCGAACUCCUCCGCCAGGAUGGCCUUGCCCAGCUCCAGGGGCAGCUCAGGGUCCAGGGCCUCAGCCAGCUUCUGCAGGUUCCACUUGCACACCUCGGGCUGCUUGCUGUAUGAAUAGCGCCCAGCAGUGUCGGAGGCGUUGCACACGUGGUCGGGGUCGUACCUGCCACAUGGGUGAGAGCCGGGUGCGCUCGAGGGCCCCACCGAGGGGCUGUGCAGACCUGGGUGCCCAAAGGCAGGGCCUGGGUGGCCACCACUUAGCUGCCCACUCCCGCAGGGAGUCUGGUUGGGCUGGCCCAACUCAAGGACCCUGCAGCUGUCUGUCCCUUCCCACACAUGUGAUCAAUUUCCACCUACAGAGCAGGGAAGCCACACUUCAGGCAGCCUGUCCCCUCACCUCCUGGCUCCUCCCCUGCCUUUCAGUGCACUAUCAGCCUGGGAGAGGGGCGCUUUCUAAAAUAUUCUCUGCUCAAAAUCCUCCAGGGCAUCCCUGCUAGCUGGCUGAGAAUUAAACAGGAACAGAUUGUUCGCAGAAGCAGCCACACACGCCUGCAGGUCGUUCCUGAGGCCCGGGCGGGGACCUCACCUGUCGAGGAAGCCGAAGGGCCCGUAGUCAAUGACCAGAAACACCAGGGAACCUUGACACCCUCAGAAGCAGGACCAGUGGAUGACCAUGUGGAAACAAGGAGGGCAGCUACCACAUUGUCAGGCAGACCUGCCCCAGGUACAGGCCACGGUGCCCACGGGCCUACCUCGCCCUGGGCUGGACCGCAGAAAGGAGGCUCGACUGACCCACCUGCCUAGGCCAGGGUCCAGCUGCCGCCCCCCAACCCCUGCCAGGCACAGUGCCCCAUACAGCCUCGGGCAGGUGCCCAUGCAGGGGAGCAGGACACAGGGCUGCAUGCACGUGCCUCAUCCCCGGGGUCGGGCAGCACCACUCUCGGCUUCAAUGACGAAGAGACCCAAGUUCAGAGUGGGGUCCCGGACCGCCCACCCUGGGUGUGAGCUGAGCCCCAGGACUCCCCUGGCAUCAUGACAGAAAGAAACAGUGCAGCUGAAGUGGGCUUGGGGGUGACUGGUGCAGGAUGGGACCCCAUAGCCACCUGCUUGGCAACCACUUCGGUGCUGACCCCUCACCCUGCCCUCUCCUCUGCCUCCACAAGGCCUGGCCUCUUGCACCGCCUACACUCCGACCGACAGGUGGGGGGCCCUGCCUGAGAGUUCUGGGGAUGGACUCUGCCUCGGGCUAGGAAAGUCCCGUGUCUCCCCCGAAUGGAGAGGCUGGGCUGGCCUGGCCAGGCUGUGUGGUUGGGGGCACUGUGUGCACAGGCCUCCCUUGGGAGGGGCCUGGCAUCCACCAGCACCCACUCCCACCUGAGCCGAGUGCCCCCCAGGGCUGUGUGGCACACAGGCCCCAUGGACGCCACUCAAACAGUGACCUAUGAGUGCGUCCCAGGACUCCUGACCCUCAGUGGUGUUUGUGAGAGGCUGGCCCUGGUCCGCACCCACCUCCCGGAAGAAGGCCACAUGCCUCUGCACACGGUCGCCAGCGUGAGCAGCCUGGAUCUCGGGGUAGAAAGUGCCGAUGACGUAGUCCAGCAUCUGCGCCCGGAUGUCGUUCCUGCCUACGCUGGGGCCCGCCCGCCCCGUGUGCUCAUCCGCAGGCUUGAAGAUCUCAAAGGACCCAAACCUGGAGGGAAGACACAUGUCCUCACUGCUUAAACAUGCUGCCUACCCCCACGCAAAGGAAGAGGGCCACGUGCAGCCCUGUGGCCAGAGUAGGAUGGAUACCCAAUUAAAACAAACCACGUGA
Vicugna pacos (alpaca) is the source of this 8691-nucleotide non-coding RNA. Lineage: Eukaryota; Metazoa; Chordata; Mammalia; Artiodactyla; Camelidae. The record is from RefSeq and is a predicted model, not a curated record.